RNAcentral lists this ribosomal RNA (402 nucleotides) under Bacteroidota bacterium. RNAcentral describes it as "Bacteroidetes bacterium partial 16S ribosomal RNA". It matches the Rfam family "Bacterial small subunit ribosomal RNA", at positions 355 to 776 of the family's 1533-position model. Lineage: Bacteria; Pseudomonadati; Bacteroidota. The record is from RNAcentral.
UGGGGAAUUUUGCACAAUGGGGGAAACCCUGAUGCAGCGACGCCGCGUGAUUUAGAAGGCCUUCGGGUUGUAAAAAUCUUUUGUAUAGGAAGAAAAUGACAGUACUAUACGAAUAAGGACCGGCUAAUUACGUGCCAGCAGCCGCGGUAAUACGUAAGGUCCGAGCGUUGUCCGGAAUCAUUGGGCGUAAAGGGUACGUAGGCGGGUAAGCAAGUUAGAAGUGAAAUCCUAUAGCUCAACUAUAGUAAGCUUUUAAAACUGCUCAUCUUGAGGUAUGGAAGGGAAAGUGGAAUUCCUAGUGUAGCGGUGAAAUGCGCAGAUAUUAGGAGGAAUACCGGUGGCGAAGGCGACUUCCUGGCCAUAACCUGACGCUGAGGUACGAAAGCGUGGGUAGCAAACAGG